Molecule: ribosomal RNA, 492 nt
Filed under: uncultured bacterium
Lineage: Bacteria
Description: partial 16S ribosomal RNA
Rfam family: Bacterial small subunit ribosomal RNA
Source: RNAcentral
AGUGAACGCUGGCGGUAGGCCUAACACAUGCAAGUCGGACGGCAGCACAGUAAGAGCUUGCUCUUACGGGUGGCGAGUGGCGGACGGGUGAGGAAUACAUCGGAAUCUACUUUUUCGUGGGGGAUAACGUAGGGAAACUUACGCUAAUACCGCAUACGACCUACGGGUGAAAGCAGGGGAUCUUCGGACCUUGCGCGAUUGAAUGAGCCGAUGUCGGAUUAGCUAGUUGGCGGGGUAAAGGCCCACCAAGGCGACGAUCCGUAGCUGGUCUGAGAGGAUGAUCAGCCACACUGGAACUGAGACCCGGUCCAGACUCCUACGGGAGGCAGCAGUGGGGAAUAUUGGACAAUGGGCGCAAGCCUGAUCCAGCCAUACCGCGUGGGUGAAGAAGGCCUUCGGGUUGUAAAGCCCUUUUGUUGGGAAAGAAAAGCAGCAGGUUAAUACCCCGCUGUUCUGACGGUACCCAAAGAAUAAGCACCGGCUAACUUCGUG